UGUUACUUGCUUUCUGUGUUGAAUGAAAGGUGUUAUUUUACUCCCUGCCAUUAGAGGGCACUGGGAGCUAUUACUGUGAAAGGUUCUCUACGCCAGAGAAUAAGAGGAAGAGGGAAGUUUGAAUGAGGAGCACAUGGAAGCUGAGAGUGUUUGCUCUCUCUAUGCUUUUAUUUGGAAACCCUUGUUGAGGAAUAUUUUGUUCUACAUCUCAAUAGGGGUUUUGUGUCUGUCUGAUUAUGGGAUCAUCUACCCUGGUCACGGAUCCUUCUCUUCAAUAUUGGGUUUUUCAUCUUUUGGAUAAAGUUUACUGGAUGGACUUGGAUUUAUCCUUUUAACAUCUAUGCCUUGAUGGACUGAGGACAUGUGCAGUAACACUGAGCUUCAUUGUUGUGUGGACAUUCAAAUGUUUUUCUUUCAAAUGUGACUGCUGCUCUAAGAUAUGGUCAUGAUUGUUGUGCGGUUUCAAACUGUAUGUCUUUUGGGAAUGUAAAUAUAAUAAGAUUGGUGGUGACAGAUCCCUCCUCA
Long non-coding RNA from Puntigrus tetrazona (Sumatra barb), 525 nucleotides. RefSeq lists it as uncharacterized. The record is from RefSeq and is a predicted model, not a curated record. NCBI's taxonomy places the organism in Eukaryota, Metazoa, Chordata, Actinopteri, Cypriniformes, Cyprinidae. The transcript has 2 exons.